Molecule: ribosomal RNA, 99 nt
Filed under: Acanthosepion pharaonis
Lineage: Eukaryota; Metazoa; Mollusca; Cephalopoda; Sepiida; Sepiidae
Source: RNAcentral
CAUUGAAACACCAAUUCCCAUAUGAUCACCAAAGUUAAGCAACGUUGAGCCUAGUCAGUAGCUAAAUGGGUGACUGCUUGGAAAUACCAGGUGCUGUAA